UACAGGGGUCUCAAGCGUUGUUCGGAUUCAUUGGGCGUAAAGGGCGCGUAGGCGGCGCGGUAAGUCGGGUGUGAAAUCUCGGAGCUUAACUCCGAAACUGCAUUCGAUACUGCCGUGCUUGAGGACUGGAGAGGAGACUGGAAUUUACGGUGUAGCAGUGAAAUGCGUAGAGAUCGUAAGGAAGACCAGUGGCGAAGGCGGGUCUCUGGACAGUUCCUGACACUGAGGCACGAAGGCCAGGGGAGCAAACGGG
This 253-nucleotide ribosomal RNA is filed under the name uncultured bacterium. Its description in RNAcentral is "partial 16S ribosomal RNA". It matches the Rfam family "Bacterial small subunit ribosomal RNA", at positions 524 to 776 of the family's 1533-position model. The record is from RNAcentral.